Long non-coding RNA from Austrofundulus limnaeus, 372 nucleotides. RefSeq lists it as uncharacterized. The record is from RefSeq and is a predicted model, not a curated record. Lineage: Eukaryota; Metazoa; Chordata; Actinopteri; Cyprinodontiformes; Rivulidae. The transcript has 2 exons.
CCUGAUUGGUUCUGGCAGCUAACAGGCAGCAGCUGGUGGCGAUCUCCUUGAUGAGCCACUGGGCUUUAUAAGGCUUCCUCUGAGGACACAACAACGCUGGAACAUAUCAUACACUUGGUUGGACCCCUUGUGGAUUUUACCCCUUGUGGAUUUUUACUGUGUGCUCAUCUGUUCAUACGCCUACCUGCCUGCCUACCUCAACGCCGACCAUCUCCUCAAGAGCCAAAACAAAUAUCAUCUGUAAAUACUCACCUGACUCAUCGUGCACUCCUGGACUUCCCUCUCCUCCAUUCCUCGUGGUCUUCUCCAAUCCUGAAACCCUGGACCUACCCCUUCCCCUUUCACUUGUAAAUAAACAUUCACUAUUUUGUA